This 522-nucleotide ribosomal RNA is filed under the name Bifidobacterium pseudocatenulatum. Its description in RNAcentral is "bacterial SSU rRNA". It matches the Rfam family "Bacterial small subunit ribosomal RNA", at positions 164 to 698 of the family's 1533-position model. The record is from RNAcentral. Lineage: Bacteria; Bacillati; Actinomycetota; Actinomycetes; Bifidobacteriales; Bifidobacteriaceae.
UAAUGCCGGAUGCUCCGACUCCUCGCAUGGGGUGUCGGGAAAGAUUUCAUCGGUAUGGGAUGGGGUCGCGUCCUAUCAGGUAGUCGGCGGGGUAACGGCCCACCGAGCCUACGACGGGUAGCCGGCCUGAGAGGGCGACCGGCCACAUUGGGACUGAGAUACGGCCCAGACUCCUACGGGAGGCAGCAGUGGGGAAUAUUGCACAAUGGGCGCAAGCCUGAUGCAGCGACGCCGCGUGCGGGAUGACGGCCUUCGGGUUGUAAACCGCUUUUGAUCGGGAGCAAGCCUUCGGGUGAGUGUACCUUUCGAAUAAGCACCGGCUAACUACGUGCCAGCAGCCGCGGUAAUACGUAGGGUGCAAGCGUUAUCCGGAAUUAUUGGGCGUAAAGGGCUCGUAGGCGGUUCGUCGCGUCCGGUGUGAAAGUCCAUCGCUUAACGGUGGAUCUGCGCCGGGUACGGGCGGGCUGGAGUGCGGUAGGGGAGACUGGAAUUCCCGGUGUAACGGUGGAAUGUGUAGAUAUC